UUGAACGCUGGCGGCAGGCCUAACACAUGCAAGUCGAACGGUAACAGGAAGAAGCUUGCUUCUUUGCUGACGAGUGGCGGACGGGUGAGUAAUGUCUGGGAAACUGCCUGAUGGAGGGGGAUAACUACUGGAAACGGUAGCUAAUACCGCAUAAUGUCGCAAGACCAAAGAGGGGGACCUUCGGGCCUCUUGCCAUCGGAUGUGCCCAGAUGGGAUUAGCUAGUAGGUGGGGUAACGGCUCACCUAGGCGACGAUCCCUAGCUGGUCUGAGAGGAUGACCAGCCACACUGGAACUGAGACACGGUCCAGACUCCUACGGGAGGCAGCAGUGGGGAAUAUUGCACAAAGGGCGCAAGCCUGAUGCAGCUAUGCCGCGUGUAUGAAGAAGGCCUUCGGGUUGUAAAGUACUUUCAGCGGGGAGGAAGGGAGUAAAGUUAAUACCUUUGCUCAUUGACGUUACCCGCAGAAGAAGCACCGGCUAACUCCGUG
RNAcentral lists this ribosomal RNA (489 nucleotides) under uncultured bacterium. RNAcentral describes it as "partial 16S ribosomal RNA". It matches the Rfam family "Bacterial small subunit ribosomal RNA", at positions 30 to 507 of the family's 1533-position model. The record is from RNAcentral.